RNAcentral lists this transfer RNA (85 nucleotides) under Coriobacteriaceae bacterium. RNAcentral describes it as "tRNA-Leu". It matches the Rfam family "tRNA". From Rfam's summary of the family: Transfer RNA (tRNA) molecules are approximately 80 nucleotides in length. Their secondary structure includes four short double-helical elements and three loops (D, anti-codon, and T loops). Lineage: Bacteria; Bacillati; Actinomycetota; Coriobacteriia; Coriobacteriales; Coriobacteriaceae. RNAcentral also lists the same sequence under 2 other names. The record is from RNAcentral.
GGGGGCGUGGCGGAAUUGGCAUACGCAUCGGUCUUAAAAACCGAGGCCGCAAGGAUUGUGGGUUCGAGUCCCACCGCCCCCACCA